UUAAAACAAUUUGACGUUAAAACUCCGCCUUGACGGAGGUUUUAACGAAAGGCUAUUUCUGUCAAUGGCAAUGACAAAUGGAGUUUAAAAAGUCAUCUGGUGGCACCUGGCUUGUCUCUCAGAGAACAAAAGCCACACGCAGCCAGAGCAACCAAUAUGAUCAGCACAGGUUUAAAUAAUAAAUCGAUCUUAUCAAGUGGUUUCCCAUCUUCGACAAGAAUCUGUGAUUUGUAAUGAUCCUUCCGCAGGUUCACCUACGGAAA
Molecule: unclassified non-coding RNA, 263 nt
Filed under: uncultured fungus
Lineage: Eukaryota; Fungi
Description: sequence contains ITS1
Source: RNAcentral